GACGAACGCUGGCGGCGUGCUUAACACAUGCAAGUCGAACGAUGAAGCCUAGCUUGCUAGGUGGAUUAGUGGCGAACGGGUGAGUAAUACGUGAGUAACCUACCUUUAACUCUGGGAUAAGCCUGGGAAACUGGGUCUAAUACCGGAUACGACCAAUCUCCGCAUGGGGUGUUGGUGGGAAGCGUUAUGUAGUGGUUAUAGAUGGGCUCUCGGCCUAUCAGCUUGUUGGUGAGGUAACGGCACACCAAGGCGACGGCGGGUAGCCGGCCUGAGAGGGUGACCGGCCACACUGGGACUGAGACACGGCCCAGACUCCUACGGGACGCAACAGUGGAGAAUAUUGCACAAUGGGCGCAAGCCUGAUGCAGAGACGCCGCGUGCGUGAUGACGGCCUUCGGGUUGUAAACCUCUGUUAGCAGGGAAGAAGAGAAAUUGACGGUACCUGCAGAGAAAGCGCCGGCUAACUACGUG
Molecule: ribosomal RNA, 471 nt
Filed under: uncultured bacterium
Lineage: Bacteria
Description: partial 16S ribosomal RNA
Rfam family: Bacterial small subunit ribosomal RNA
Source: RNAcentral